This is a long non-coding RNA of Daphnia carinata, 1458 nucleotides long. RefSeq lists it as uncharacterized. The transcript is spliced from 5 exons. The record is from RefSeq and is a predicted model, not a curated record. NCBI's taxonomy places the organism in Eukaryota, Metazoa, Arthropoda, Branchiopoda, Diplostraca, Daphniidae.
UACCACUAUUUUCCAUGGACAUGCUGUGGGUUAUGGUUUCAACCUCAAUGAGCACGUAAAUUCACUACACCUUCGCACUGUGGUUCUUUUACUGCUUUUGUUGGCUAUAAUGCACCGGUUAGGGUUGUUUGUAUUUAGUUUAUGUAGUCCAUCUUUAGUCGGUAUCACACUAUGGUUAUUACCCCACCUUGUCACCACCUAACCAUAUAAACCACCCGCUCAACAAAACCCCGACCCGAUCGAAGCGGGGUUGUGAAGUUGACAAGUACUUCUUUAACCAAUUCGAUGUUUUGCAACGCUGUAUCAAAUGUUUGCAAAAGUGCAUAUGAAGUUUAGUCUUCUAUGAGCAGACAAUUUGUAAGCAAACCAGAAAUACCGAUUCUUGAGGAUGUGUAGCGAUAGCGGGGGAUUAUAGUUCAUCAUGGCGACGACAUUUCACCAACCAGAAAGUCUUGACCACAGAAGAGAAUUUAAACGAAAUCAUAGAAAUUCUCCUUGAUUUUGAAAAACAGACUAGACCUGUGAGCAAGGUGCAUCUCGGAAUCAAUUGCACCGAUCAGUUUCGAAGUUGGCUUGUAUAUCUUGGCCAAACACUACAGCCUUGUGGCGUUCAAUGGAUGGUCGUCAACCUUGACAAUUUAGUCGAGGAAACAGAAGAAUUUCAUUUUAAUUUGGUUGGGUGCUACCUCGAUUAUGGCUGAUCAGUGCCAAUUUAAGCAGGUUUCAACCAUAGGAUAGGAACCUGACGUUUGCGGUGUAAGUGGUUGAGGAAAGGCAAUGAUAUUUGAUAAUACAAUUGAGAAGGAUUAAUAUUUGUAAACCUGGCUGAACAAUGCAAAUGAAAUUGUAUUGAAUCUGGAAUUCAGCUUCGUGGCAUUGCAUAAGUUAUAAGAUACGUAUAUUUAUUUCUAAAUAUAUUUGGAAAUGGUAUGCAUUAAUGAGAUGUUUUUUUUUUUUUACAGAUUAAUCAGAAUAACAAAGCUAUCAAAUGAAUUGAGCAUUGGAACGCGUAGGAAUGAGAUAUUCUGCCAUGGAUUUGAAGAAAUGGGAAGUGAUGAAAAAAGGAACUAAAACCAAUAGCUGAGAACGAUUAUAAUUCAAGGUGAAUUAAAAGAUAAAUAAUGAAGUAUGUUACAAGAAUGGAAUGGUUUUUUCGCUGUUGCACGAAUGAGGUAAAAAAGAAAAUAAUGGAAUGAAUUGUGGGGGAUUUAUUUAUACUAUGAUAUUAGCAGAUCGAUAAAUCUGGUGAUGAUUAAGACAUUUUACUUGUGAAUAGUAAAAUGUAUAAGCUGAUAUUUACGAACUGUAUGAAUGGGUGUAUAGUAGCCAUAAAAUUUGCUACGGUGGUUUUUUUACAACAAAUGAGUAGGUUGUCAAUAUAAUUGACUUAAAAAUCCGCAGUUAUUGCACUAUGUAACAGUAAAAUGGUAAAAAAAAAAGGGGUUUAAUCUAAUCUGU